RNAcentral lists this ribosomal RNA (443 nucleotides) under uncultured bacterium. Its description in RNAcentral is "partial 16S ribosomal RNA". It matches the Rfam family "Bacterial small subunit ribosomal RNA", at positions 338 to 795 of the family's 1533-position model. The record is from RNAcentral.
CCUACGGGGGGCAGCAGUGGGGAAUAUUGGGCAAUGGGCGCAACCCUGACCCAGCAACGCCGCGUGAAGGAAGAAGUCUUUCGGUUUGUAAACUUCUUUUAGCAGGGACGAAACAAAUGACGGUACCUGACGAAUAAGCCACGGCUAACUACGUGCCAGCAGCCGCGGUAAUACGUAGGUGGCAAGCGUUAUCCGGAUUUACUGGGUGUAAAGGGAGUGUAGGCGGGACUGCAAGUCAGAUGUGAAAGGCGCGGGCUCAACCUGUGGACUGCAUUUGAAACUGUAGUGCUGGAGUGCUGGAGAGGCAAAUGGAAUUCCUAGUGUAGCGGUGAAAUGCGUAGAUAUUAGGAGGAACACCAGUGGCGAAGGCGGUUUACUGGACAGUAACUGACGUUGAGGCGCGAAAGCGUGGGGAGCAAACAGGAUUAGAUACCCGAGUAGUC